Molecule: ribosomal RNA, 253 nt
Filed under: uncultured bacterium
Lineage: Bacteria
Description: partial 16S ribosomal RNA
Rfam family: Bacterial small subunit ribosomal RNA
Source: RNAcentral
UACAGAGGUCUCAAGCGUUGUUCGGAUUCAUUGGGCGUAAAGGGUGCGUAGGCGGCGCGGUAAGUCGGGUGUGAAAUCUUGGAGCUUAACUCCGAAACUGCAUUCGAUACUGCCGUGCUUGAGGACUGGAGAGGAGACUGGAAUUUACGGUGCAGCGGUGAAAUGCGUAGAUAUCGUAAGGAAGACCAGUGGCGAAGGCGGGUCUCUGGACAGUUCCUGACGCUGAGGCACGAAGGCCAGGGGAGCAAACGGG